Molecule: ribosomal RNA, 273 nt
Filed under: uncultured bacterium
Lineage: Bacteria
Description: partial 16S ribosomal RNA
Rfam family: Bacterial small subunit ribosomal RNA
Source: RNAcentral
UACGUAGGUGGCAAGCGUUGUCCGGAUUCAUUGGGUUUAAAGGGUGCGUAGGCGGCCCGGUAAGUCAGUAGUGAAAUAUCGCAGCUUAACUGUGAGGGUGCUAAUGAUACUGCCGGGCUAGAGUGCAGACGAGGCAGGCGGAAUUGACGGUGUAGCGGUGAAAUGCUUAGAUAUCGUCAAGAACACCGAUAGUGUAGACAGCUUACUAGACUCUAACUGACGCUGAGGCACGAAAGUGUGGGGAUCAAACAGGAUUAGAUACCCCUGUAGUCC